UCAGGGGAAGUGCUCGGGAGAGGAGAGGCUGUGGUUGGCUGUUUUGUUUUGGGGCUCUUCCUGGCUCUUGGAAAAGCUAGAUGUGCCUAACUAACUGCAAAAAAGACGAAGUUGAAGGAGCUCUUCUAGAAGCUGCCUGGUGCAGUUACCGUGGUGACAGAGAUGAAAGGAGGAGUCUUCGGACAUGACUCUACGUGCCAGACCUCACCUGGAUCCUCCCGCUGUCACCUGGACUCGCUGCCCUGGAGACACACUUUGCAGUGCCUGAGCUUGUUCCAGUUCCCAGAGUGCCUGGAACCCUUGCCAGUGAGAUGCAAGUAAAGAACGAGAUAAGUACUAAGAAUGUGGUUGACCGGGCUUGGUCCCCUCCGCAAACACAUACUGGAUACCCAGCGGGAGACUUUCCAUGCUUGAACCCUCCUGGUGUGAUACCCACAAGAAAAGGACAUUGCUGACUGGAACCAGAGUGUGUGGCCCCGUCCCCAUCCCCAACCCCGCCCCACCCCACUCCAGCUCCAAGCCAUGUCCUCACCAACUUAACACCCAACACGGGUCUCUAGUAGCUUCUGGCGUUUCAGAGACCAAGGAAGGUCAAGUUUGCCGAAAGUCCUGGACUCCUCUGGCUUCUCUACACUCAGAGCUUACAGUUAGGAGAGCCCUCAUUCUCUCGUGAGCUCCCAUGCAGCCCCUUGCUCCGGUUACACUCUGCUGAAGCAGUCUGCCCGUCGUGGCCUGCUAACUGGUCUUCCGUGGAGAAACCUUGACCUUCAGAGCCAUACCCCACAUGGCUGUUCAGCUGUGGCCUCCAUCCUACUCCCGCCUUCAGUCCUCAGCUCUGAGGCUACACCCCAUUGUCUUGGUCUCUGGCCCCCUGCUUAGCAGCUGGCUCAUUUGCCACCCACACACAGCUUGCAGAUACCCUGUUCUUUCUUCUGGCUGUGGGUAGGUCCUGCUCAGACACUGCUUCUGUGACCCGCAACCCAAGGGGACAGGGAUCCGACUCAUACUCCAUUCCUGGGCUGCUUUUGCCAUAGCUGAUCCAAGAUAAAGUGGAGUCAAGAUGUCAUAUCUAGUAUGUAUUCUAAGUUCUAGGCUUUAGAGAGUCCAAACCAAUAUCUUCUCUUUUCCUUGCAUGGAGUCUCCACAAGAGAAACCAGGACCCUUUUUGUAGGUUUGCCUCCUCCAUGUCAGACAGGAUGUUUCUAAUGGGCACAGGCUUCCUUCAGUAAACCCCUCAAAGGGGCCCUUUCCCAUCAAUUGGGAAGUUGCUGCUAUCUUUUCCAUUGGAUCUGCAAAGAGUGGGUACCAAGGACCUUCUUGCUGUUUGGUAACAGAAAACAGGCUAAGACCUUGUGAGGAAGAAGAGAAUGAAAAAGUGUGGAAGAAAAGUAGAUGGGGAGAAAGAGAAUUAACACAAUUUUUCUUUUUUUUUAACAUUUUUUUUCUUAAAUUUUACUCCAUAUUGGUCUAUAUUCAUGCCUAUUCUGAUACUAUUGUUGAAUAAAGAGCCCAUGUGACUUGAUUAACAGGCAUGAAAGGCAAUGCUCACAAGGAGACAACCAAGAAAAUGGGAGUGUCUAAAAUGGAUCUGUGUUCAAUUUCACAGACAGCCAAGAAAAUGAAGUCUAUCCCUCCAGGAGGCAAGUUCACACCUGUUACAGGGGCAAGAAUUGAAAAGGACUGCCACUUCCGAUAGUAGAGGACUGCUUUGUCAAGAAAUUGAAGAGUUUGGGAACUUGCCCUCCCCUUGCACAUUGACACAUUUCAUAUUUAUGAAUGAAUGCUCCAGAAAAAUGAGGUACUUGGGUCAUGGAUGAGGGUUUCUUGGGGACAAAAACAGAUGCAGGACACACGGCCUAUACUGCUUCUUCCUACCCAGUCCCACAGGCCACAAGCAGCAGACACUCCACACCCAUGACAGAGAAAAUAAUUUUCUCUGCUUGUAUCCAAGAGAGAAGCAGCUAUCUGUCCAUCUGCCCCUUCCCACCCCCAUCUCCCUCUGGAAAAGGCGAAAGAAAAGCCUUUGUUUCUUGGGAGAUGAUCCUAGAUUCUCACCCUAGCCUUUUGGAAUAUAAGACGACUCUCUUUAAGAGUCCUAAUUUGUCUCAGGCUUUUGGAACCCGAGGGAGAUCUCCAAGGUGUGGAGGGUAAAGGACUCGAGGAGGUGGGGAUCAGGCAGUCCCUCCAUCUUAACCUCCUAAGAGUUUCGCCUGGAAUGUUUCCUGAACUUCAAUUAUUUGUUCAUCUUAGGGAGUUAACUGAAGGUUAACAGGCCACCUGGUCUGUGUCCCAGGAGUAUUAAGACUCCCAAGAGUCUUUUUUUUUUUUUUAGCUUUAACAAAAUAUAAGAUAAAACAAAAGUCAUCACAUCGAAGUUGGACAGGGCAAACUAACAGAAGGAAAGGAGCCCAAGAGAAGACACUAGAAUCAGAGACCCACUGGUUCCCACACUCUGGAGUCUCAUGAAAAUAUCAAAAAUUGAAAGCUAUAAUAUACAUGCAGAGGACCUGGCUCAGACCCAAGGUUUUCACUAAGCUGCAGAGAGUGUAGUUAGGGUGGAAAUGACACCCUGACAAUUUCUUGUGGGGAGGAAGGGACCCAGGAAAGUCAGCUCUGACCACACAACUUUGACUCCAGAAAUUUCACUUUGUGGAAUCGUGACAAAGAUAAAGCAUGAAGUCAAGAGAAAAUACAAGAAAUACAUUUGCAGGAUGACUGAGAUUGACGGACCUGAAAGCAAACCGCAAAGAAAGCGAUGCAGCGGAAGCGGCAGAGCUAGAGCGACAGGCCCCCAGAGCCGAGCUUGGAAACCCUCGGAGGGGGGGGUGUGGUGAACUGCCCACCCUGCUGCCCACACCGAAAAACUACAACCUGUGUUUCCUAGCUUUUUUUUUUUUUUUUCUGUAAGUUGUAAAGCUGGAAACAGAGCAAAUGGCAGGGUUUUUUUUUGUUGUUGUUGUUUUGUUUUGUUUUUUUUCCCCUCCCCCAGUUCAGCCAGUUUGUGUCAAUGUUUUGGUCUUUCAGUUUUCCUUUGAGGAUGUCUCCGAUAACAAACCUGAGAGAACAGCUGUGACUACAGACCUAAGCUCAUGUAGUACUAUUGCACUGUGCUACACUGUUUUGAAAUGAUCCUUCUAUACCCUGAUCUGGAAUACUUUUCAUUGCCUACUUAAAUGAAAACUGCAAAACACAGCUCUCACUCCAAAAGGAAUAAGAUAAUUUGUUCUGAGCUGAAGAUGAGUUACCAAUGCCCAGAAACUCACAUGAAAGUUAGAUGUGAUAUAACUCUCCUCCAUGGUAGAGGUUACGUGAAUGUUCAUACAUAUAGAACAAAAUGUCAUAGAUGGAGGUGGGUUUGCCCCAUACCGUGGUGGGAACACUAGAAAAAUAGUCCUGGAAGGGAAAGGACACCUCUUCAAAGGACUGAGGCUCGGUCUGGGGAUGGGUGGGAGCUAGCAGUCCCACUCAGUGAACACAUUCCAAAAGUUUUACCUGGCAGUAACAAUGGCAUUAGGUCAGACUCAGAGCCUGGUCACUAAUGGCUUUUAAGGGGGACAAGUUAGCUGGAGGUCAUUUUGGCAGUUGAUCUACAAUACUCCCGUCUCCCGGUCUGGAUUUCUGAUUGGUCAGUUGCUACAGAAUCUUUCAUGUGGAUGUGGUCUUUUCCGGGAACUGCAAUUGACAGAAUGGGAGAAGACAUGGAGACUCGGCAAUAGGUGAGAAGAGUUUAAAUUCAUCCAAGAAGAGUGCAGGCCCAGCUCGGUGUCAACGGGAAUAUAAAAUUCCGUGGGUUUAUACUAAGUUACAGACGGCAUCCGCUUGUGGACAAGGGCUAUGAUAGGAACAAAUUGGAAGUAUUUUCUUAGGGACUCAGGUUUAUUCACUCAACUAUAUUGUCUACUCUGUGUCAGGCACUGUAUCCCCCCCUCCCCCGCCAGCCCUGCGGUGCUGAGCAGCAGCCUCAGCACCAUAGGAAUUGCUCUCCAACGGUAGGGGUGAGGGUGUUAUAGCCAGACAUAAAUGUGUCUCCCAAUGUCAGGAGGCAGAAAUACCUUGUUGAAAAACCUAAACUGGGUGUCUCAGAGACAGGGCUGCUAUUUGAAAUGGGGUGAUGGGGAAGGCUUCCCUUAAGGUACAGUAACUGAGCAGAGACCCAAAGAAAGAGGGUGCCAAUCGCAGUGCUUUUGUGGCAAGCACCAUUUUGUGGUUCAUUUCUAUUCUCUCUCCAGGGACUCCAUAGCACCCCAAACCCAACCCUAGCACUGUGUAUCUUCUAGUGUAAGAAGACACCUGGCUCAAUAGCCAAUCAUCUUAGUUUCUCUGCAUUCCAAAAAAUAAUACUGGGCAACAAAAAUUGGUAAAGAAAAAUGGAUUUAUUUACAGUUUGGACAAAAGAGAUGAAGACUUUGAUUUUCUCCUGCAGUGCCCUGUAGUGUGUGUCACCUUUUAUAUGUGCACAGAGACACACAUACACAGGAAGUGUAAGAGAGGAUGCUGCUAGGUGCAAGGCUCUGGUGCCCAGCUCUCCAGGGACCUCCUGGAGAAGUGCUAAUUCCUGUUUAUUUCCUCGGGGUUCGAGGACACAGUGUUCUGCCACAGAGCAGAGGUCUAGCUACCAUCUACCCUUUUCCUACUGGAAAAGCACCAUUGCUGUUAAUUGCAUAGAACAGCCCUGUUCUGGAAAAUGUGUAGUAUGAGAAUGUAAAGUACGCAAUCUGAAGAGGCGUAUUCCAGGCUCAGCUCCUGCUUUUCUAUUAUGUGACCUUGACCCUGUGUAACUCUAACAAGGAUUUUACCUAUCCCACAAAAACAAUUCAUUGUAAAGACUUCAUUGGUGUCGGUACAGAAGUGUUAAAUCUGUAUCUUACUGUUAUCGGUUUCUUGAGACAGCUUUGGCUGUCCUGAGUUCUGUUUGUAGACCAGGCUGGCCUCAAACUCACAGAGAUCCUCUUGCCUCUCCAUGCUCUUCCUUCUUACUGUUAUCGUUAUUGCUACUAACUUGAGAGUCAGCUCUUGUUGAACUUGGAGGAUUCUUUUCCCAA
Long non-coding RNA from Meriones unguiculatus (Mongolian gerbil), 5042 nucleotides. RefSeq lists it as uncharacterized. The transcript is spliced from 3 exons. The record is from RefSeq and is a predicted model, not a curated record. NCBI's taxonomy places the organism in Eukaryota, Metazoa, Chordata, Mammalia, Rodentia, Muridae.